CAGAGGGCUGGAGCACCUCUCCUGUGAGGAAAGGUUGAGGGAACUGGGCUUGUUUAGCUUGGAGGAGAGAAGCCUCCGGGCAGACCUCAUUGCAGCCUUCUAGUACUUGAAGAGAGCGUAUAAAUAUGAAGGGGAAUGGCUGCUUAUCAGAGUGGGUAGUGAUAGUACAAGGGGGAAUGGUUUAAAGCUGAGACAGGGGAGGUUUAGGUUAGAUAUUAGGAGGAAGUUUUUCACCCAGAGGGUGGUGACACACUGGAACACGUCGCCCAAGGAGGUUGUGGAUGCCCCGUCCCUGGAGGCGUUCAAGGCCAGGCUGGAUGUGGCUCUGGGCAGCCUGGUCUAGUGGUUGGCGACCCUGCACAUAGCAGGGGGGUUGAAACUAGAUGAUCAUUGUGUUCCUUUUUAACCUAGGCCAUUCUAUGUUUAUAUAAUUCUAUGAAAAAUGGAGUCUUAUUCAGAAAUUAACAUAAAUUUAUAAAUUUAAAGCUCAUAGUUGAAAAAUAGUGUUGUAAACAUCACUUACUAUCAUUCCUCAGAACAAACAUUCUAGAUUA
RNAcentral lists this long non-coding RNA (554 nucleotides) under Gallus gallus (chicken). RNAcentral's name for it is "lncRNA (ENSGALG00010001099.1)". The record is from RNAcentral. Lineage: Eukaryota; Metazoa; Chordata; Aves; Galliformes; Phasianidae.